Molecule: ribosomal RNA, 700 nt
Filed under: uncultured Gammaproteobacteria bacterium
Lineage: Bacteria; Pseudomonadati; Pseudomonadota; Gammaproteobacteria
Description: bacterial SSU rRNA
Rfam family: Bacterial small subunit ribosomal RNA
Source: RNAcentral
UGCAAGUCGAUCGGUAACAGGUGUAGCAAUACAUGCUGACGAGAGGCGGACGGGUGAGGAACGCUUGGGAAUCUGCCUAUCAGCGGGGGACAACCCGGGGAAACUCGGGCUAAUACCGCAUACGCUCUACGGAGGAAAGCCGGGGACCGCAAGGCCUGGCACUGAUAGAUGAGCCCAAGUCGGAUUAGCUAGUUGGCGGGGUAACGGCCCACCAAGGCGACGAUCCGUAGCUGGUCUGAGAGGACGAUCAGCCACACCGGAACUGAGACACGGUCCGGACUCCUACGGGAGGCAGCAGUGGGGAAUAUUGGACAAUGGGCGAAAGCCUGAUCCAGCGACGCCGCGUGGGUGAAGAAGGCCUGCGGGUUGUAAAGCCCUUUCGGUAGGGACGAAAGCUCUUGCCCUAACAAGGCAGGAGGUUGACUUAACCUACAUAAGAAGCACCGGCUAACUCUGUGCCAGCAGCCGCGGUAAUACAGAGGGUGCGAGCGUUAAUCGGAAUUACUGGGCGUAAAGCGCACGUAGUCGGCUUGUCAAGUCGGGUGUGAAAUCCCCGGGCUCAACCUGGGAACUGCAUCCGAGACUGACUUGCUAGAGUAUGGGAGAGGGAAGCGGAAUUUCUGGUGUAGCAGUGAAAUGCGUAGAUAUCAGAAGGAACAUCAGUGGCGAAGGCGGCUUCCUGGACCAAUACUGACGAUCA